GAGAAUUAGGGUGAUUAGUCAUUAUUUUUUCCAUUUAUUCAUUCUUUCAAAUUGUCAAAUAUUAGAUGAGUAGCUGCUCUAUACUGGACAUUGUGUUUGGCUCUAGAAAUUAAAUGGUGAAUAAGAAAAAUAUACUUUUGUCCUCCUAGGCACUCAAAGGAUAAUAAAUUUGACGUUUAUAAUUCAGUGUGAUAAAUGCUCUUGUGAUUAGAGGAAGGAUUCUAACACCAGAAUGAAGAAAGAGGAGGAGGGACAGAGGGGUAAAGAGAAGAAGGAAUAUGAGAAAGAAAAAUUUCCUUGAUUUAAGCUUUUGCUACGUACCUGGCUUUUUAUGAGCUUCUUUAUCCCAUUUUGUCUUAUUUAGUCCUCUGUGAGGUAGAUAUUGGAAGGAGUGGUGGUGGAGGUUAAUGGAUUAAGGUAACAUUGUAUCAAAAUUUUUAAGAAGCAUGUCUUGAUUCUAUAAAAUGAACAAAACAUCUAGCCUUGUGUCAAAAACUUGUGCAAACCUCUGUGCUGAAGGCAAGGCAAGGUUUUUGAACUUCUUUUUCCUCUCCCUAGAUUUAAACCCAAGUUGUCAGAUGUUACCCUCUGUGACCAGCUACUUUACAGGAAAUCAAAAGAAUGAGUGCAAGAUGGCUGUGCCUCCUUCCAUAUGGGAGAAGGCCUUGCUCCUCUGAUCACUCUUACCUCAGGGAAGAAGCAGGAAAAGAGACCCACCAGUCUCAAUGAGCUUUGAACCCUUCUAGUCGCUAUCCACAGUUCAGAUUAGUGUUUGGUCCUCUUGGGAGAAGAGGGAGGUGCAAAGAUGGUAACUGAGGCAGAGAGCGGCUGAAUGGCAUGCCUAGUGUCAGGGUUGGCAAACUGUUCUCUGGGUUGUCAGGCAGGUGAAACGACAUGAUGGAAUAGAAACUCCUUUGUGAACUGUUCUGUCUGCUUCAGCCAGGGGUGCCUGCUUUCCAGGAUGGAGUGGAGAGGACUGUUGGGUCUUUGUGGAGGAGUUCCAGAACUCCAGAACUGAGAUGCUUUUUGAGAACAGGUCACUGUCACAUGCGUCUAGGACCCUUUUCUCAGCACAUUGAGAACUCCUUUGGGCAGGGCAGCCCAGGGUCUCCUCUUCCCUGAGCCAGCACAGGGCCAGAGCCUGGGAUGGUGUUGGGGAGAAUCAUGUUUCCUCAGGGAAGGCCAUUUCCAGUUAUUGGGUUGGAACUUGGUGUUGAGGGUGGAGGUGGCGGUGGGAGCUGCACCGUAUACAUUUUUGUUUAUAUGUAUGGUGUGUGUUGGGGGGUGGGGUGAGGCAGGAGUUUUGGGAGAAAAGGAACCAGAGUCAAACCAGUCUGGAAAGGGGCAAAUAUGCCGGCUGGUUCUCCUGCUUAGCAAAUGUGUGUGUACACUGCUAGUGUGGUAGGAAGAUUCUGCACACAGAUGCAUGUGGCCUUGACUUCUUGCUCCCUCUCAUACUUUCUGGAUGAGAUAGUUGAUGCUCAUGCGGGCUCUUUCUCUGAGCCUCUUUAUCCUUAAAGGGAGAGCAGCAUUCACCAGUGUGUUGGACUAUCCUGGGUAGACAGGUUGACAGCCGUCCUAUCUAUGUCUUCACCAAAAAGGGGGAAGGAGGUAGGGGAACAAGGAGACUGGCUCAUCAUCUCUUGGCUGGGACUGGCAUUAGCUGCUCCUUAAUCUUUCCUGCCUUGAAAUCCCCAAGGGCAGUAGGGAAGCUUCUAGGAGAUUAUGUGCAGAUGAGGCCCAGCUUUCUAAAACAGAAUCUUCAUGGAGUUCUGCUAGAGGUUUGAGCUAUUUCCUCACUAAAGGACAUAUAAAUCCUUGCAAAGAGCAUUAGGAUGGAUGACAGAGAUUUGGGACUCUGGCUAAGUCAUCCCUUGAAUUGCAUCGGGAUUGGGGACACAGUUCACUGUUAGGUAUUUGAAGGACAUCGCUCCUGGCACUCCUUUAUUCCCCAACCUUUCCUCCAACCCUUAGUUGUCCCUCCCUACAACCAUUAAGACCUCCCCUGUGUUUCCUCCCUCCAGACACUCUAUUAUUCCUUACAUGACAAGAGUCCCAGUAUCUUGUCCCUCAUGUCUUAUAGAUUGUGCACUGCAAGCUGCCUCUGGAUGCAAACACACAUUUUCUCUGCCCGGGAUCCUGCUAAUGCCAAAGGGAGUAGCAUGGGUGGGCUGCAGGCUAUGCGUCCUGGCAGUGGAUAGGGGACGGUGGGAAGGACUUCAAUUUGCUUUCUCUCUGUCAGUGAUGACUAAGUCCACUUUCCCUCUGAUUAAUCUUAAGGCAAAUGUUUGUAACAAGAGUGAUUUUCUUAUGAAGGUCAUGCAGUCCAGUAUAACAUGAAAUUCUUCCAAUUAAAGUGAC
Molecule: long non-coding RNA, 2361 nt
Organism: Canis lupus familiaris (dog)
Lineage: Eukaryota; Metazoa; Chordata; Mammalia; Carnivora; Canidae
Exons: 3
Source: RefSeq, a predicted model, not a curated record